GACGAACGCUGGCGACGUGCCUAAUACAUGCAAGUUGAGCGCUGAAGGUUGGUACUUGUACCAACUGGAUGAGCAGCGAACGGGUGAGUAACGCGUGGGGAAUCUGCCUUUGAGCGGGGGACAACAUUUGGAAACGAAUGCUAAUGCCGCAUAAAAACUUUAAACACAAGUUUUAAGUUUGAAAGAUGCAAUUGCAUCACUCAAAGAUGAUCCCGCGUUGUAUUAGCUAGUUGGUGAGGUAAAGGCUCACCAAGGCGAUGAUACAUAGCCGACCUGAGAGGGUGAUCGGCCACAUUGGGACUGAGACACGGCCCAAACUCCUACGGGAGGCAGCAGUAGGGAAUCUUCGGCAAUGGACGAAAGUCUGACCGAGCAACGCCGCGUGAGUGAAGAAGGUUUUCGGAUCGUAAAACUCUGUUGGUAGAGAAGAACGUUGGUGAGAGUGGAAAGCUCAUCAAGUGACGGUAACUACCCAGAAAGGGACGGCUAACUACGUG
This 497-nucleotide ribosomal RNA is filed under the name uncultured bacterium. Its description in RNAcentral is "partial 16S ribosomal RNA". It matches the Rfam family "Bacterial small subunit ribosomal RNA", at positions 28 to 507 of the family's 1533-position model. The record is from RNAcentral.